UUUUUUUUUUUUUUUUGGUUAUAUGUACUUUUUGUGGUGUGUCAGCCUAUAACUGGUCUUGGAAACCCGAUGGGGAAAUCCCAGACAGCCUGAAGCCGAGGGGAGUCUUGCAUUGCUUUCAGCCACCCUGUGAAUUCCAUCUCCCUCAAAACCUUUCUGCUAUGGAGACUAUAUUGCUUUUAGCAGCACCAGACACCGUUCCCAACCACUAGACCACCACAAAAGACAAGACAGAGAAAACGAAGUGAAAGAUUUCUUCAGCUGGACUUCAGCCUUAACUGGCGCGACUGUCCAGCUUUUCACAAGGCCAGCUUGGCAAAGCACCUGGAAAUGUGUGCCUUCAGCCGGGGAGGCAGCCCAAAGCAAGGCCUCCCUGGCCCCGGCCGCUUCCAGCGCACCAUCGGAUGGUCUCGGGCCCGUGGCAAGCACAGGAGCACCGCCAGCAGCGCAGGCACGUGUGGCCCCGCGCACACAGCCCGCUCGCUGCUCCGGCACGGACAGACUGGGGAGCAUCUGUGCUGGGGGGAUACGGAACAAAUAAGUAAUUGCUGUUUUUACUAAGCAAAGCAGAAAAUUACAGCAUAUUAACAGCCAAGCGUGUUUGUCGCCUGGCAAGAACCAUUUGUGUUCCGCUUUGGGCUUUUUUAUUCAUCUGAAGUCUGUGCCUCAAAGCACAUUAAAAACAUUUUAAUUAUUAUUGUGAGUUUAUGUUCUCAUAUGGAUUUAAAGUGUAUAAAUAUUAUGCGAGAUAGGGAGAGAAGAAAGUAAAAUAAAUAAAUUCAAGAAAAUGUUCUGUAUUUUUAGCAGUGGUGGAUGCAGUUCUGAAUUAGCGGCUUAGAAAACAUAUAAUUCUUUUUAGAAUUUGCAUUAAAAAUGUGUCCUGGUUUAUCAGACAAGUGUGUGGCUAUGUGUACGUUCUCUUAGCCACAUUCAGCUCUCUUCAAAAAGACAUCCAGCAGAAUAGCACUCUUUAGGGACAGUGUUUCAGGGUUGACAAGAACAUUAAACCAUAUUAUAAUUAUCUCUUCAAUGAAAACACGGCUUUGUAGUGGAGGCAAUGCACAGUUCUCAAGGCGAGUGUUAUUAGGCUGUAUGUGUUUUCUUGGAAGGAGAUUCAUGGAAAGAAAAAAGCUUUAUAAUUUACUGCAAGGAAAAAAAUACAGAGUACAUGUCAUGCAUAGCAAAAGGGAUUUUACAAAGAAGGCACUAAGUUGAGUGCCUCACUUAUCUUGAAGAAUGCUUCCACAUAAUAAGUGUGGGGAUUGGUUUAACACAAGCUACAAUAUAGAUAUAACAGACACAUACAAUUCCCUGUGACCGUUCAUAUAGAUAACUGCAAAAAAUUGUCUGUAAAGUAAGGUAAAUAUAAACCAAUUGCCUCCUGUGACAUAAAUGGGUUCUGUCUCAUUCUUUGAGAGGUCACCACUGAACAGAAUACAUUCUUAUGGCAGUGCAGAUAAUAAAAUCUGUUAUUCUUAAUGUGAAUACAAGGAUUUUCUAACCCAUUUUCCACAUUCAAGAUACUGUUUUCUCAAAUUAGUCUGAAAUUAUAAAGUAUGAGUUCUGAAACAGCAAGCAAAGUUACAAACUGCACCAAGAAGAUUCUAAUAUGUUCAUAAAUGACAAUAUUUAAUAUGCAUAUCUUACACAUACUAUCUACACAAGCACAUUUCUAUUUAUGUACUCACAUUAAAAAAAUACAAUGGAUUUUUAAAACUUUUGCAAAUGCCUGAAUUAUUUUAAACUGGGAAUUUUCUUCUUGUUUGUGAAAAUGAGAUUGCAACUUUGUUUUCUUUAUUAUGUUGGCAAGUGGAUAGAUUUAAAUUCCUUAAAAUGGAAUGAACUAGAAGAAAUAAACAAAUAAUGUUAACCAACAGUUACAUAUAUCCUGAACAUAGCAAAGACCGACAAUAUUAUGAAAAUCUUGUGUUAAUGGAGAAUUAACUGUAAAGCUGCGGCAUUUCAGUUGUGUGCAGGCAGGUCCAGGCACACACAGGCAUAAACACAAAAGACAACAGCCCCACUAAACAGCUACCAAAAGUUUACCCAACUGGCCUAAUACUAGACAUAACAGCUUGAGCAUUUGUAGGAAAAAAAAGCCAGAAACUCACCAAAUCUUGGUUUUAAAAGCAUGCUAGGUAUCCAGAGAGAGAGCAUUCGGAACAGUCAAUUACUUUCACAUUUUGUCCCAGGACUUUAAAAGUUAAAGGCAUAGUUCUGCCAAUUGUGAGAUGCCCCAUCCAGCACAGACCACCCACAACUACUGAUUUUCCAUCUGGUGAACAAAACAGACAUCUCCCUAAUUAUUUUUAAAAAGGUUUUUUUUUCUAACAUACUUCCUUUAUUUGUCUGUGACCUGGAACUUAAUGGAAAACCUGGUAGAUGCCAACCUCAUUUCUUGUAAUGAAGCAUCUUAUUUUCCCUACUUUAAGCAUGCUUAUUUAAAGGCUAUUUAAUAGAAAGUUAUUACCUAAGCUGAUCUUUGAUAGGACCUAAAUUACUAAAUAGUUUGAAAUUAGAACAACUCUAUAUCGAACCCUAAAUGUUCUAGUUAAAUAUUAACCAUUAAAAGACCUUUCCUUAAAGCGGCAUAUUAAAACAGGAAGCAAUGAGGUUUACAGUCUCAUAUGCUGGGUUCCCAUAUUGCCAGUGUCAAAAUUUAUGCCUUUUUUCAGCAAUAUGGUUGCCAUUGCCAGCACCACACUUAUAAAUGCCAACUGUAAUUAAAAUCUGGCACCUUAUACAAGCAUUAAACAUGCUUACAGAUUAAAAAAAAAAAAAUCUUUAUUCUAAAAUACUCAUUGCAGCAUAUGCAGGCUUAAAAAAAAAGUUCUUCUUCUGCCAGUUUUAGAAACAUCACAGGAAAAAAAAAUCAAGGUCCAAGUUGUCCUGAAAAUCAGUCCAGAGAAACCUAAAUACUGUGCUAAAUUUCAAAGUGGAUGUAUUUGAGGGAGGGAUGGCAAAAUCUGGAUUUUCACUUGAAAGGGGCUGCAAAGAAACAGCAUAUUUAAAAAUCUGGAGCCUUGGCAGACACACAGGGCAGGUAACACAGAGCCUUUAUCCCAGUGCCCUUCACACAGGCGGUUACAGUUCAAUAAAGAUGUAAAGCCUCAUUGCCGUCACGGUGAAUGGCCAAGCAGGGCUGGGGAUCCCACAAUCCAGUAAGAGAGGCUGCAGACAAGAACAGAGGCUGGGAUGAACCCGUAGCCUGUUCAUCAUAAUAGUUUUGGGGAUGUAAACAUGAUCAUCUGGGCUUUUCAUCCCUUAAAUACCCUUCAUUGCUGCACUGCUGUGCCUCCAGUGUGUGAGCACCUGGCUGGGUGGCCAGUUAAGAACAAUUAUUUCCCAGGCUUGUCAGCAAUGGAAGUGAUCAACCUUGGAGAAAAUUGAGAGCUGGGGGAAAUAGGCCAUUCUACCCAGCAAAAUGUCCAGUAUAAAUUACUUUUCCACUUACUAGUGUGCUACUUAUAAGUUACUCAGUUGUCUUAUGGACCAGCAGGAGAUGAGGAACCCAUGUUCAUGGGAGCUCAAAAUGUAAAGAAGUUACCAAGGCACACAGCAGCAGGUGCACAAAUGGGGUGCUGCAGCACCCUGAGAUUGCUUCUUGGUCUGGCAGUACUGCACCAAGCAGUCUGUACUGCUCCAGUCAUUCAUCUUGGCUAAGAGGUGAUGAAGAGUCAUCCAGCCACACUGUCAAGUAAGUUGCUGGAGAAGGACCACCUCUCAGAAACUCAGCACCACCUGGGGACGCUGUGUGGAAUUGCCAAAAUGAUUUUUAAACGGCAACGGAAAGCAGUGUUCUUUCAAAGAAAUUUGAUGACAUGUUAUGAUUUGGCAUUUACAGGAACACCUUCCAAAGUGACCAGUAGAUGGAGAGGAACCAUGGUGGCUCUGCCCCAGCAUUUGGGACACCACUGACCAAAGGCAGCAGGACACAGCAGCGUCUCUGCCGCAAAGGCGUGAUGACCGAGACACUCCAUCGUGUCCUCCGUACCUCAUUCUGCUGGUGCCUGAAGCAAGGUUUAUUCUCCUGAUCCUACCAGCAGAAGAGGUAAUUAAAUUUCAUUGUGGGGUGUCCUGUGCACCAAAUGUUUAUGGACAGGACUGAAAAAUUGUAUCCUCACAUUUUCUUGACAUCGCUUUCUUGGCUGAAUUUCUGAAUCCUUAUGUCAAGUUUGCACUGAUGUUUAUGUUUGCUUGUAGGUACUUCAGCUAUUGAUGACUUUCAGCAGGAUUAAAUCUUUCAAGACACUUUUCUUAAAAAAAAACCUACACUACCAAAAGGGAAACCCUUGAGUUAGAUAAUUAAUUUGAAGCAUGUUUUCCCAUGUAAAGGUUUUAGCUAUUUUUUUAGAGAAAGGUUAAUUCUCAGUUUGUAACCACUAAAGUAUGUUGCUUUGUAACUAAAUAUAGCUUUUGCACUAAAUUUGGCACUUCUUAUUGCUAACCAGAAGGACAGAGUAGCUCUGCUGAUAUAUAGUCAAACUUUUCUAUACCUCAUUAUACAUUUUUUCAGAUUAAUUUUACUGUUUUUAUUAGAAAAUCAUGUAUGGCACAAUUCUUAUUUACUAGUUGAUCUCUUUGUGUUUACUUAGGAUUUAUGUUUCUUUGGAUGAAAACUGGAAAACAAUUUAAAAUGUAAUGAGAUGGUUUAUUGCUUGCAUAGCACUAUCUGAGAGAGGCUGGACUUGCAAAAAAUUCUGAUUAGAUUUAAAAAUUGCUCUAUUAAAAUAACUUGGUAUUAGCUAGAAUUAGCACCAAUCUAGUAUUUGGUCUUAAUAUCCUCCAAUAUUGUAGUAUUAGCAAAACUAAUCCUCUCAUAAUUAGCUUUUAUUCACAUAUUGGUAGAGAAGAACAAGCUUUUCUGCUUCUUUCAACUCCCAAUUGGUCAAGUUUGAAUAAAUUAGUCAUUUAACUGAGCUAAUUGAAUAUAUUGAGGAAAAUAUUCUCUUGGUACUUGCAGAGGAGGCUAUUGAUCUCAA
Molecule: long non-coding RNA, 4982 nt
Organism: Taeniopygia guttata (zebra finch)
Lineage: Eukaryota; Metazoa; Chordata; Aves; Passeriformes; Estrildidae
Source: Ensembl